CAGCAAUUUCUUGAGGCAAUGUUUUUUGUCCUGUGUUAUUAGAGUUAGCUGUAUCAUCUGGCUGUUCAGUACUGCACAGAGACUCCACAAUCGGGACAUCAUCGGUGCAGGCGCGAACAUCUUCAGUGCCAGUGUUGCAGCAUACAGUUGACCAUGGAGCUAUUGACGCACCCCACGCCCAACAUGAAGUCACUUCGAACCCAAGUCACUUCGUACCAAAGUCACAACCGUUCCCUGGGCUAAUACUGCGCAAAUCGUUCAGUACCUGAAGAGUUUUUAAAGGAAGUGGACACUAAUGUGGAAAUACAUAAUGGCACUGUCUUUCAGGAGUUGGCUGCUGCCUACACAGAUGAUGAAAGCCUAACAACUUGGAACAUGUCUAGAAAUUCACUGCAGGCUAUCCAUGUAAAGGUUGUGAUAUCUAGGAACUCAAUGCUUCACUACGAACACUGUAGGUCAACAACUAUUGUCUUCAAAGGGUUAUCCUUGUGACAGAACAGUUACUGCUCCACUCCAACCAUGGCAAGUCACCCAUUUGUAUACUCACUGCUUCACUUCAACUAUUAUCUUCAAUGGGCUGGUUGUUUCUUUGACAGAGUUUGCUGCUGCCUGCACAGAUGAUGAAAGUCUAACAACUUGGAACAUGUCUAAAAACUCACUGCAGGCUAUCCAUGUGACUGUAAAGGUUGUGCUAUCUAGAAACUCAACGCUUCACUUUAACCACUGUAGUUCAUCCAUGUGACAGGGACCAUUAUCUUCAAUUGGCAAGUCUUAAAGUUUUUAUCCAAUGUCUACUAAAUUUGAACUUUACUUCGCCUCAUCAAACGAAACUUGUCCUGUUUACUGGGGUUAGAUAUCUCUAGUUUUUUUACCUUAUCAAGUCCUGGGACACUGGUAACUAAACAAAUGUUUUUGUAACCUUUAAAUUGUUCCCAGGCUGACUUUGUGUCAUUCAUGCAACAUUACCAAAGUUAGUGCCAUUCUUUUAGAAAGAUUGCAAAUCUAAUAACAG
Long non-coding RNA from Asterias rubens (European starfish), 1012 nucleotides. RefSeq lists it as uncharacterized. The record is from RefSeq and is a predicted model, not a curated record. The transcript is spliced from 6 exons. Lineage: Eukaryota; Metazoa; Echinodermata; Asteroidea; Forcipulatida; Asteriidae.